CCCAAAACGUGUGAGAUGAGAUGGGUUUGCGAAUCAAGCAGAGAAGAGGAGAAGUGGGAUAGUGAAACUCAAACAACCUGGUUUGGGCAAUUGCCAUCUCAAAACCUCUCUCUGUCUCCCCUUCCCUCCGUCGCUUGGCAGUGGCACGGUUCAUUGGCUCCAAUCCAAUCCAACCAGCUGCUGCGCUGAACUCAGCCUUUACUUCUUUGCCACUGGUAAGUUAUUAUUUACCCUCUCUUUCUGUUUGGUUGCUGGGAAAGGUUUGGAAAAAGUGCAGCAGAGUUGACAAAUUUGUAAAUUAACCGAUUUGUUUAGUUUGCUCACUUGCUUGUUAAUACGAAUAAAGUCCGAAAAAAUGGUGAAAAAGAAAACUGAAACUUACACUGAAUCUACCCAAAUAAAUCUUGUGAUCCUUAUAAAUCUUAGGGUGCGUUUGGUAUUCUUUCACCGGAAAACUGUUUGAUUUUCAUUUCAAUUCUGAGCUCAUCGUCGUCUCCAUUUUCAUUCUCUUCCGUGUUCUUUAAAACCCAAUUACCAUGGUGUGGGGUCAAUGAUUGGCGCUCACAUGGGACCACUGUUGACUGGCUGCUUGUCCCUUUAGAAACAGAUUACAGUUCUAAUCUCGUGAAUAUAAGCUGGGGGAGGAUGACCUUUCUGUAUUUGGUUUAAUGGCAAGUGGGAAAAGCGGGGCUUUUUUUUUUCAAUGCUGGGUAUAGCUGUUUCUGGAAAUGCCGCAAUAGAGUGCUUGGAGUUCGAUUGGCCCUGUAUUUCCAUUGGUCUUCCUUGUAAAUAUUAGUCAUGAUCUGUAUUUGGUAUUGAAUUGCUGAAUAGCUGUAUGAUGUUUGAGUGUUCUUUUUUUUUUCUUUGUUUUCUUUUAAACCAAAUAGGUUUAAGAACGGUUUUCAGAUUAUUAUUUUUUGGUGUAAAUUCGGAAUACAACCCAAAUUUUUGGAAUGGAUCGUAACUUUUGAAUCACAAACCAAUCAAGCCCUUACUUCUCUUAGAUUGUCCGGUUGGUUUGUUCAAUAUUCAAUUGUGUUAGAUUUUUCGGUCAAAAGAUAGAUGCAUAUGUAAAUCUCCGCGAAGCUCAGUGCUACAAUCAUCUCUUGCUACUGAAUUUUUUAUUGCUGGAAUCUAUAUUUUGUUUUUUGUUUUUGUGUUUCAUUUAUAUAUGGUUUUGUUAAGUUAUAUUUGUUUGGAUGCAUCUUAACCUCCAACUUAUGCUUACUGUUUGUAGAUUCUCGAGCCAUGAAUUGGGUUCAACGAAAGAUUUAUCUUUACAAUGUCACUUUUGGGCUCUAUAUGUUGGAUUGGUGGGAGCGUUAUCUCUUCAGUAUCCUAUGUUAUGCCUUUUUUUCUUCAAUAUGCUUGACAUGUGUCCUUUUUAAGUUUAGAGCGUAAGCUUAUAUCCAUGAUCAUGUAGAGAUGGAGUUUAUAAUUUCAAUUUUCAAGUGGUUGCAUGACACUUACAUUUAUUCAAUUAGAAAAAAGAAGCAUUUUGCUUGAUCUUAUUAUAAACCUUUCUUGCUGUUAUGAUUUGAAAAGUUGCCUCUUAUUUUGCAAUAUCUCCGAUCACCAUAUGCUAAAACCUGAAGUUUUUCUUGAGCUUGUUUACUGGUUCCUACCAUAUUGCCAUAUAUAAGUUUCAUUAAAAUUUGUAUUUUUGGUUAUCAUGUUUCUGGUUCAGUCUUAUGACUUAAUGAAUAGGAGGGGAAAUGCAUGUUGAGGAAAUGUUAUAUUUAGGAUAUAAGAUUUUACCUACAGCUCUCACCAUUCUCGAUCAAAUUUAAUAUGAAGUUCUCUCCCUUCCUCUAUGCUGUUACAUUGCGCUUGUGAAUUCCUAAAUCUUGACAGAUACUUUGGUCGUUGUGUUGAUGUGGUUCAUUUUUUACAAUGGCUCACGAUAUGUAACGGAGUUUUGCAAGAGGUAACAUUCUAACCUUUUUCUCUUGUUGGAUAUCAUAAGUUGUAGCAUCUUAUCGUUAUGUUAUAUUGGAAUUUCGUAAUAUGUUCUUUGCUAUGAUGUGUUUGGAUGUAAUGGUAGGCCAAGGCCAGUAGAUAAUGUGGAAUUCGGCUGCCAAAUAAAUCAGUUUACAACUCUUGGUUUAGCCUCCGUUCCUUCGGGAAAAUAGAUGAGUUGUAGCAUUAAUGUUCUUAAGACUAGUUCAGAUGUUGACUACCUAUUUUGGCAUAACUGAACUGCCUUCUUCAGUGCACCCACUGUACCCUCUUUCAUAAUGAGUGGUUUCUUGCAUGCUUGAAUAGGUUGCUAUAGCUGUGUUUCAUAAUGUGAGGUUUCAUGUUACAAAAAUGAAAGCACUAUAAACACAACAUACAAACAUUUUGAAGGGUUUACAUAACCUGUCAUCAAAUAAUUUGGAUGCAUCCUUGUGGUCUUCACUUACUGUUCUUGAAUUGGGGCAAUUUAAACUAGACAAACAGUGAGGUUUUCUCUAGCCUUUUUCAGAUCUCUUCCCGUUUGUUUUCUUUGGGGCAUUUAGAAACAUACACAGAACUUUGGAAGGUGAAAUUGCUUAUGGAACUCCAAAAAGACUUGCCAAUUUUGCAGAGGCUCCUUUUGAGUUAUUAGAGAUACCCAAGUAUUUGUCCGGAGUGUCAACUAUAUCUAUAUCCUAGAUUAUACUCUAAACCUUUGGGAUGGAUUUUGGACUUUUUUUUAUCAGUCAAAGAUUUUGGACAUAAAAAUGAAAAAAACAAAAAACAAAAAAUAUAACAAAUCUUUUGGUGCGAUAUGUCUUUGUAUUGGUAUGUUCUUCCCACUGAAGCAAUGCAAAAUUUACUUUUAUGCAAUUUAAUGUUCUUUCAGCCAGUCUACCAGGUGUUUAUGGAUUGUCUACAGUUGGACUUCAAGAUUAAAAUGUAGUUUUAACUUUUCCUUCAAAUAUAAUUUCAGGCAUCUAUGGUGACGCGUAGAGCUAGCACCAACCCAGAAGGUUCAAAUGUAAUGAUUGAAUGAAGAUUUGAAUUCAGCUGCAGCAUGUAUUACACUCAGUAUUUAUAUUUGACUUGUGAAAAUUGUUGAUUUUGUGACAGCAAUUGUGUAUGUACUGCCCUUUUUGUACACCAUCUUCUCAUGUUAUAGGCUUAUGUUUCUCUUAAUAUAUCUGAUAGCUUUGGCUUUUACCCCCCUAGCAAAAAAAUAAAGGAGAAAAGAUGAAAACAAAAAGUAUGUUAUAGAGAAACUUAUGGGAUGCCAUUUGGUCCUGGG
This 3229-nucleotide long non-coding RNA is filed under the name Prunus dulcis (almond). RNAcentral describes it as "sRNA ncRNA". Lineage: Eukaryota; Viridiplantae; Streptophyta; Magnoliopsida; Rosales; Rosaceae. The record is from RNAcentral.